Gasterosteus aculeatus aculeatus (three-spined stickleback) is the source of this 2180-nucleotide long non-coding RNA. Lineage: Eukaryota; Metazoa; Chordata; Actinopteri; Perciformes; Gasterosteidae. The record is from Ensembl.
UCUCUUUAACUGACGACAGACAGACAGAGAGACAGACAGAGAGACAGACAGAGAGACAGACAGAGAGACGGGGAGAGAGACGGGGAGAGAGACAGGGAGCGAGACAGCAAAGAGACAGGGGCGAGAGACAGGCAGAGAGACAGGGCGAGAGACAGCAGAGAGACAGACAGAGAGACAGCAGAGAGACGGGGAGAGAGACAGCAAAGAGACAGGCAGAGAGACAGGGCGAGAGACAGCAGAGAGACAGGGCGAGAGACAGGCAGAGAGACAGGGCGAGAGACAGCAGAGAGACAGCAGAGAGACAGGGAAAGAGACAGCAGAGAGACAGGGGAAAGAGACAGCAGAGAGACAGGGGAAAGAGACAGCAGAGAGACAGGGGAAAGGCAAUACAAACAUGAACUAAUAUUUGUUAAAUGUUUAUUUAGUUUCUAAAUAAUUAACAUGACAAUUGUCCCUCACAACUUGUUUACUAAUGACCAGACAAUAAUAUCAAUCAGAAUACUAUUACUGAUCAUAUUGUAGUAGUGUAUAUUAUUGAUCAUUUUGUUGUCAAUAAUAUAAAUAUGAUCAAUGAUAAGAUUUAUCUUCAAUAUCAAUAAUAGUGUAAAUAUUUUUAUUGAUAUAAUCACAUCACAUGUCAUUUAUCUGACGCUUUUAUCCAAAGCAACUUACAAUAAGAACAUUUAACCAUAAGGACACAAACUCAGAAGAACAAGAAACAAGAAAGUGUGAUUUCAUAAAUUAAACCGAUAUGAUAUCUGUUAUCUAUAGCAAGUUGUAUAAGUCCAAUGUCAGUGCUGCAGUCAGUUAGUGUGUUAGUGGAGGUAGAGUCGGAGGAGUGGAGGAGUGAGGGAGAACUUAGGAAGGUUAAAGACCAGUGGAGCUGCUGCAUUCUGGAUGAGCUGCAGAGGUGGAAUGGUGGUAGCAGGAGACCUGCAGGAGAGAGUUACAGUAGUCCAGGAGGGAGACGACAAGAGCCUGAAUCAGUACCUCCUUCUGAGUGAGAAGAGGACGUGUUCUCCUCAUGUUGUAGAGCGAGUAUCUACAGGAUGGUGUUGUCAGUGAUGUUGGAGUCAGGGAGAGUCGGCUGUCGACGUCACGCUGAGGUUCCUGCAGUCAAAGUGGACGUUAACACGGAGUCUCAAAGUUAACAGUCAGGUCCUGUGUAGGAGAAUCUUUUCCCAGAAAGAGAAGUAGUUCCGUCUUGUCGGGGUUGAUUUUCAGAUGGUGGGCGGAUCCACUGAGAGAUGUCAGUCAGACAGGCAGAGAUCCGAGUGAGGGAAGGAGAGGAUUAGUUGGUGUCAUCAGCAUAGCUGUGGUAGGAGAAGCCAUGCGAGCGAAUGACAGCGCAGAGAGAGUUGGUGUAGAGCGAGAAGAGGAGGAGACCCAGGACGGAACCCUGAGGAACUCCAGUAGUAAGAGGACAAGGUUCCGACACAGAUCCUCUCCAGGUUACUCGGUAGGUGCGUCCGUCGAGGUAGGACGAGAGAAGGGAGAGAACAGAGCCUGAGACACCAAGUUCCUGAAGGGAGGAGACAAGGGUCUGCUGGUUGACUGUGUCAAAUGCAGCAGAGAGGUCCAGAAGGACGAGGACAGAGGAGAGAGAGGAGCUCUAGCAGUGUGGAGCUGCUCUGAGACAGCGAGGAGAGCAGUCUCUGUGGAACGGCCUUGAAGCCUGACUGGUGGGGGUCAAGGAGGUUGUUAUGGUGGAGAUAAGAGGAGAGCUGGUUAAAGAUCACACGUUCAAGGGUUUUGGGCAAUCAGGGAAGAAGAGAGACCGGUCUGUAGUUGUGUUCUUCAGACGGGUUGAGGGUGGGUUUCUUCAGGAGAGGGUUGACUCUUCUCCUUCAGAGAAAACAUCCAGAUAACAGAGCGUUGUUGAUGAGACAGGUGAGGAAAGGAAGAAGGUCGGGAGUGAUAGAUUGUAGAAGAUGUGAUGGAAUGGGGUCAAGAGGGCAGGUGGUUGGACGGGCAGAGGUUACUAGGGUAAGAACUUGGUUAGGAGACGGGGGUGAAGGAGGAGAGUGAGGGCGAUAGAGGUGAAGCCAGUGGGACACGAGUAGGAGGAGGUGGGUUUGAGAAAGAGGAGCGUAUGUCAGCUACAGUUGUGCUCAUAAGUUUACAUACCCUGGCAGUAUUAAUGAUUUCUCGGCCAUUUUUCAGAGAAUAUGAAUGAUAAC